GAGGGUGUACUUAGAGCCCUCUGCACGAUGUGUGUUAAUAGUAGUGGCUUUUGGCCGAGCCGCACGGUUAGAGAAUC
Non-coding RNA from Prevotella corporis, 77 nucleotides. Lineage: Bacteria; Pseudomonadati; Bacteroidota; Bacteroidia; Bacteroidales; Prevotellaceae. The record is from Rfam.